Molecule: ribosomal RNA, 472 nt
Filed under: uncultured bacterium
Lineage: Bacteria
Description: bacterial SSU rRNA
Rfam family: Bacterial small subunit ribosomal RNA
Source: RNAcentral
GACGAACGCUGGCGGCAUGCCUAACACAUGCAAGUCUAGGGGUAGCAAUACCACUGGCGCACGGGUGAGUAACACGUAGGUUAUCUGCCCCCAUCACAGACAUAACCCCGGGAAACCGGGGCUAAUAUCUGAUGAGGUCGCGAGAUCAAAGCUUCGGCGGAUGGGGAUGAGCCUGCGGCUGAUUAGCUAGUUGGUGAGGUAAUGGCUCACCAAGGCGACGAUCAGUAGCUGGUCUGAGAGGACGAACAGCCACACUGGAACUGAGACACGGUCCAGACUCCUACGGGAGGCAGCAGUCGAGAAUUCUUCUCAAUGGGGGAAACCCUGAAGGAGCGACGCCGCGUGGGGGAUGAAUGGCUUCGGCCCGUAAACCCCUGUCAUUUGCGAACAAUCCCGUUUGUUUAAUAAACAAACGGUUGCUAGUAGCGAAAGAGGAAGGGACGGCUAACUCUGUGCCAGCAGCCGCGGUAAU